RNAcentral lists this ribosomal RNA (109 nucleotides) under Eptatretus burgeri (inshore hagfish). The record is from RNAcentral. Lineage: Eukaryota; Metazoa; Chordata; Myxini; Myxiniformes; Myxinidae.
UCCAAUGAUCACACCAUGUUAAAUAUGCCCAAUCUUGGAACCGAAGCAGGUUUGGGUCUGGUUAGUACCUGGAUGGGAGACCACCUGGGAAGACCAGGUGUUGUAAGCU